This 467-nucleotide ribosomal RNA is filed under the name uncultured bacterium. RNAcentral describes it as "partial 16S ribosomal RNA". It matches the Rfam family "Bacterial small subunit ribosomal RNA", at positions 28 to 506 of the family's 1533-position model. The record is from RNAcentral.
GACGAACGCUGGCGGCGUGCUUAACACAUGCAAGUCGAACGGAAAGGCCCUGCUUUUGUGGGGUGCUCGAGUGGCGAACGGGUGAGUAACACGUGAGUAACCUGCCCUUGACUUUGGGAUAACUUCAGGAAACUGGGGCUAAUACCGGAUAGGAGCUCCUGCUGCAUGGUGGGGGUUGGAAAGUUUCGGCGGUUGGGGAUGGACUCGCGGCUUAUCAGCUUGUUGGUGGGGUAGUGGCUUACCAAGGCUUUGACGGGUAGCCGGCCUGAGAGGGUGACCGGCCACAUUGGGACUGAGAUACGGCCCAGACUCCUACGGGAGGCAGCAGUGGGGAAUAUUGCACAAUGGGCGGAAGCCUGAUGCAGCAACGCCGCGUGCGGGAUGACGGCCUUCGGGUUGUAAACCGCUUUCGCCUGUGACGAAGCGUGAGUGACGGUGAUGGGUAAAGAAGCACCGGCUAACUACGU